ACGGUCCUACGGGGGGCAGCAGUGAGGAAUAUUGGUCAAUGGUCGGUAGACUGAACCAGCCAAGCCGCGUGAGGGAUGAAGGUACAGAGUAUCGUAAACCUCUUUUGUCAGGGAACAAAGGCGGGGACGUGUCCCCGGAUGGGUGUACCUGAAGAAAAAGCAUCGGCUAACUCCGUGCCAGCAGCCGCGGUAAUACGGAGGAUGGAGGCGUUAUCCGGCUUUAUUGGGGUUAAAGGGUG
RNAcentral lists this ribosomal RNA (239 nucleotides) under uncultured bacterium. Its description in RNAcentral is "partial 16S ribosomal RNA". It matches the Rfam family "Bacterial small subunit ribosomal RNA", at positions 333 to 569 of the family's 1533-position model. The record is from RNAcentral.